UGACAAAUAAUGGAACAAAAACAAUCAAGAUAUUUGUAAAUUUUAAGUAUUUUCACUAAUAAUAUGGGGAAAAUUUGAUAAUUAUAUCGAUAAAAUACCUAUUUAACUUAUAUUUUAUAACUGUAGCCAUGAAUAAUUAGAUUUUGCAACAAAUUCAUAUGAUGUUGAUAUAAGUAUGAAUGGCAAAGGUUUGACACCAGUUAUGAGUUAAUGAUGUCGGGGCCUGCGAAAAAUUGUUUUUAUUAUAAAUAAACAACAAUAUUAAUCCAUACAAACCUUAUACGUUAAUAAUACAAAAUUAUGACAAAAUUAGUUUCCAGUUUUUGUCGAUCGUUUUGGAAACAUGAACACAUGACAAAUUUAUGAAACGCAUAAAUUUUUACAAAUAUUGAGCUAUUCCAAUGAUAAUUAACACUGUUCUAAACACGUAAUAUCGAAUUAAAACAUUUUUGUGCAACAAGCUCUCUCCAUGGUGACAUGUCGGUAGCGGCGAGCGCUGGAGUUGUGUUGGUUGGUCUCGUUUUAGUUUGGGGUGUUUAUCUCCGAAAAUGUUUAUACGAGGUCAAUUGAACUAUGUGUGAAAUAACUUCAAUAUUGUAAUUUAAAUAUGUGUGUUCAUUAAUAUAAUUCAAUAGAUAACAA
Molecule: non-coding RNA, 642 nt
Organism: Plutella xylostella (diamondback moth)
Lineage: Eukaryota; Metazoa; Arthropoda; Insecta; Lepidoptera; Plutellidae
Source: RefSeq, a predicted model, not a curated record